RNAcentral lists this ribosomal RNA (254 nucleotides) under uncultured bacterium. RNAcentral's name for it is "partial 16S ribosomal RNA". It matches the Rfam family "Bacterial small subunit ribosomal RNA", at positions 524 to 776 of the family's 1533-position model. The record is from RNAcentral.
UACGUGGGGAGCAAGCGUUGUUCGGAUUUACUGGGCGUAAAGGGCGCGUAGGCGGCCUCUGCAAGUCGACUGUGAAAUCUCCGGGCUUAACCCGGAAAGGUCAGCCGAUACUGCAGGGCUAGAGUGCAGAAGGGGCAACUGGAAUUCUCGGUGUAGCGGUGAAAUGCGUAGAUAUCGAGAGGAACACCUGCGGCGAAGGCGGGUUGCUGGGCUGACACUGACGCUGAAGCGCGAAAGCUAGGGGAGCGAACGGG